UACGGAGGGAGCUAGCGUUGUUCGGAAUUACUGGGCGUAAAGCGCGCGUAGGCGGCUUUGUAAGUUAGAGGUGAAAGCCCGGAGCUCAACUCCAGAACUGCCUUUGAUACUGGAGAGCUUGAGUCCGGGAGAGGUGAGUGGAACUCCGAGUGUAGAGGUGAAAUUCGUAGAUAUUCGGAAGAACACCAGUGGCGAAGGCGGCUCACUGGCCCGGUACUGACGCUGAUGUGCGAAAGCGUGGGGAGCAAACAGG
RNAcentral lists this ribosomal RNA (253 nucleotides) under uncultured bacterium. RNAcentral's name for it is "partial 16S ribosomal RNA". It matches the Rfam family "Bacterial small subunit ribosomal RNA", at positions 524 to 776 of the family's 1533-position model. The record is from RNAcentral.